GUGAACGCUGGCGGUAGGCCUAACACAUGCCAGUCGAACGGCAGCACAGUAAGAGCUUGCUCUUACGGGUGGCGAGUGGCGGACGGGUGAGGAAUACAUCGGAAUCUACUUUUUCGUGGGGGAUAACGUAGGGAAACUUACGCUAAUACCGCAUACGACCUACGGGUGAAAGCAGGGGAUCUUCGGACCUUGCGCGAUUGAAUGAGCCGAUGUCGGAUUAGCUAGUUGGCGGGGUAAAGGCCCACCAAGGCGACGAUCCGUAGCUGGUCUGAGAGGAUGAUCAGCCACACUGGAACUGAGACACGGUCCAGACUCCUACGGGAGGCAGAAGUGGGGAAUAUUGGACAAUGGGCGCAAGCCUGAUCCAGCCAUACCGCGUGGGUGAAGAAGGCCUUCGGGUUGUAAAGCCCUUUUGUUGGGAAAGAAAAGCAGCAGGUUAAUACCCCGCUGUUCUGACGGUACCCAAAGAAUAAGCACCGGCUAACUUCGUG
This 491-nucleotide ribosomal RNA is filed under the name uncultured bacterium. Its description in RNAcentral is "partial 16S ribosomal RNA". It matches the Rfam family "Bacterial small subunit ribosomal RNA", at positions 29 to 507 of the family's 1533-position model. The record is from RNAcentral.